Molecule: ribosomal RNA, 896 nt
Filed under: Paracoccus sp. 36
Lineage: Bacteria; Pseudomonadati; Pseudomonadota; Alphaproteobacteria; Rhodobacterales; Paracoccaceae
Also listed under: 1 other name
Description: bacterial SSU rRNA
Rfam family: Bacterial small subunit ribosomal RNA
Source: RNAcentral
AGUCGAGCGGAUGAGGGGAGCUUGCUCCUUGAUUCAGCGGCGGACGGGUGAGUAAUGCCUAGGAAUCUGCCUGGUAGUGGGGGAUAACGUUCCGAAAGGAACGCUAAUACCGCAUACGUCCUACGGGAGAAAGCAGGGGACCUUCGGGCCUUGCGCUAUCAGAUGAGCCUAGGUCGGAUUAGCUAGUUGGUGAGGUAAUGGCUCACCAAGGCGACGAUCCGUAACUGGUCUGAGAGGAUGAUCAGUCACACUGGAACUGAGACACGGUCCAGACUCCUACGGGAGGCAGCAGUGGGGAAUAUUGGACAAUGGGCGAAAGCCUGAUCCAGCCAUGCCGCGUGUGUGAAGAAGGUCUUCGGAUUGUAAAGCACUUUAAGUUGGGAGGAAGGGCAGUAAGUUAAUACCUUGCUGUUUUGACGUUACCAACAGAAUAAGCACCGGCUAACUUCGUGCCAGCAGCCGCGGUAAUACGAAGGGUGCAAGCGUUAAUCGGAAUUACUGGGCGUAAAGCGCGCGUAGGUGGUUUUGUAAGUUGGAGGUGAAAUCCCCGGGCUCAACCUGGGAACUGCCUCCAAAACUGCAUGACUAGAGUACGGUAGAGGGUAGUGGAAUUUCCUGUGUAGCGGUGAAAUGCGUAGAUAUAGGAAGGAACACCAGUGGCGAAGGCGACUACCUGGACUGAUACUGACACUGAGGUGCGAAAGCGUGGGGAGCAAACAGGAUUAGAUACCCUGGUAGUCCACGCCGUAAACGAUGUCAACUAGCCGUUGGGUACCUUGAGUACUUAGUGGCGCAGCUAACGCAUUAAGUUGACCGCCUGGGGAGUACGGCCGCAAGGUUAAAAACUCAAUGAAUUGACGGGGGCCCGCACAAGCGGUGGAGCAUGUGGUUUAAUU